This 76-nucleotide transfer RNA is filed under the name Micavibrio sp. TMED27. Its description in RNAcentral is "tRNA-Met". It matches the Rfam family "tRNA". From Rfam's summary of the family: Transfer RNA (tRNA) molecules are approximately 80 nucleotides in length. Their secondary structure includes four short double-helical elements and three loops (D, anti-codon, and T loops). Further hydrogen bonds mediate the characteristic L-shaped molecular structure. tRNAs have two regions of fundamental functional importance: the anti-codon, which is responsible for specific mRNA codon recognition, and the 3' end, to which the tRNAs corresponding amino acid is attached (by aminoacyl-tRNA synthetases). tRNAs cope with the degeneracy of the genetic code in two manners: having more than one tRNA (with a specific anti-codon) for a particular amino acid; and 'wobble' base-pairing, i.e. permitting non-standard base-pairing at the 3rd anti-codon position. RNAcentral also lists the same sequence under 1 other name. Lineage: Bacteria; Pseudomonadati; Bdellovibrionota; Bdellovibrionia; Bdellovibrionales; Pseudobdellovibrionaceae. The record is from RNAcentral.
AGCGGAGUAGAGCAGCGGCCAGCUCGCUUGCUUCAUACGCAAGAAGUCGCGGGUUCAAAUCCCGCCUCCGCAACCA